This is a small nucleolar RNA of Phyllostomus discolor (pale spear-nosed bat), 96 nucleotides long. RefSeq annotates it as Z30 small nucleolar RNA. The record is from RefSeq and is a predicted model, not a curated record. Lineage: Eukaryota; Metazoa; Chordata; Mammalia; Chiroptera; Phyllostomidae. The transcript has a single exon.
AUGCCACGAUGAGUGAAGUAGAGUCUGACCUGGUAUUGCCAUUCUUUGGUGUUGCCUUUGACUAGGGUAUGAUCGCUUCAUCUUCUCUCUGAGAUG